UAAUACGCUGUACUCGAGUAUAGAUGGCAGGAAAAGAUAUAUGUGCGUUACGUUCAAUGCCCUGUGUAAACAUGCAUCAAUAAUAAUUACGACAAUAAUGCAACCAUUGUUACGUUAUGAAAAACUAAAAGCACUGUAAAUUAUUUACUACUAGAAAAGUCCGUAAAUAAUAACGUUGUCUUGAAACGGGGACAGUAUAAUGCUCGCAAAAUUUCUUCAAGUGCUGAUAAAACAAAGAAUGAGAUUGUAGUAUUAUUGAGAGCGUAAUGAAUACAGCAUUUUUAAAUGCAUU
Molecule: long non-coding RNA, 292 nt
Organism: Diprion similis
Lineage: Eukaryota; Metazoa; Arthropoda; Insecta; Hymenoptera; Diprionidae
Exons: 3
Source: RefSeq, a predicted model, not a curated record